This 253-nucleotide ribosomal RNA is filed under the name uncultured bacterium. RNAcentral describes it as "partial 16S ribosomal RNA". It matches the Rfam family "Bacterial small subunit ribosomal RNA", at positions 524 to 776 of the family's 1533-position model. The record is from RNAcentral.
UACGUAGGGUGCAAGCGUUAAUCGGAAUUACUGGGCGUAAAGCGUGCGCAGGCGGUUUUGUAAGUCUGUUGUGAAAUCCCCGGGCUCAACCUGGGAAUUGCGAUGGAGACUGCAAGGCUGGAGUCUGGCAGAGGGGGGUAGAAUUCCACGUGUAGCAGUGAAAUGCGUAGAGAUGUGGAGGAACACCGAUGGCGAAGGCAGCCCCCUGGGUCAAAACUGACGCUCAUGCACGAAAGCGUGGGGAGCAAACAGG